Molecule: ribosomal RNA, 482 nt
Filed under: uncultured bacterium
Lineage: Bacteria
Description: SSU rRNA
Rfam family: Bacterial small subunit ribosomal RNA
Source: RNAcentral
AGGACGAACGCUGGCGGCGUGCUUAACACAUGCAAGUCGAACGGAAAGGCCCGCUUGCGGGUACUCGAGUGGCGAACGGGUGAGUAACACGUGGGCAACCUGCCCUCAGCUUCGGGAUAACACUUGGAAACAGGUGCUAAUACCGGAUAAUAACCUUUCAUCGCAUGGUGGUUGGUUCAAAGUUUUUCGGCUGAGGAUGGGCCCGCGGCCUAUCAGCUUGUUGGUGGGGUAAUGGCCUACCAAGGCGACGACGGGUAGCCGGCCUGAGAGGGCGACCGGCCACACUGGGACUGAGACACGGCCCAGACUCCUACGGGAGGCAGCAGUGGGGAAUAUUGCGCAAUGGGCGGAAGCCUGACGCAGCGACGCCGCGUGAGGGAUGACGGCCUUCGGGUUGUAAACCUCUUUCAGCUCUGACGAAGCGCAAGUGACGGUAGGAGCAGAAGAAGCACCGGCCAACUACGCGCCAGCAGCCGCGGUAA